Molecule: ribosomal RNA, 524 nt
Filed under: uncultured bacterium
Lineage: Bacteria
Description: bacterial SSU rRNA
Rfam family: Bacterial small subunit ribosomal RNA
Source: RNAcentral
AGAGUUUGAUCAUGGCUCAGAUUGAACGCUGGCGGCAGCCCUUACACAUGCAAGUCGAGCGAGAAAGUUUCUUCGGAAGCGAGUAAAGCGGCGGACGGGUGAGUAACGCGUAGGAAUCUACCAUUCAGUGGGGGAUAGCUCGGGGAAACCCGAAUUAAUACCGCAUAUACCCUAAGGGGGAAAGAGGGCCUAUCCUUGGAAGCUCUUGCUGUUUGAUGAGCCUGCGUGAGAUUAGUUUGUUGGUGAGGUAAUGGCUCACCAAGGCUACGAUCUCUAGCUGGUCUGAGAGGACGAUCAGCCACACUGGGACUGAGACACGGCCCAGACUCCUACGGGAGGCAGCAGUGGGGAAUAUUGGACAAUGGGGGCAACCCUGAUCCAGGCAUGCCGCGUGUGUGAAGAAGGCCUUCGGGUUGUAAAGCACUUUAGGUAAGGAAGAAAAGUUAUUGGUUAAUACCCAAUGACCAUGACAUUACUUACAGAAUAAGGACCGGCUAACUCCGUGCCAGCCGCCGCGGUAAUAC